GACGAACGCUGGCGGCGUGCCUAAUACAUGCAAGUUGAGCGAUGAAGAUUGGUGCUUGCACCAAUUUGAAGAGCAGCGAACGGGUGAGUAACGCGUGGGGAAUCUGCCUUUGAGCGGGGGACAACAUUUGGAAACGAAUGCUAAUACCGCAUAACAACUUUAAACAUAAGUUUUAAGUUUGAAAGAUGCAAUUGCAUCACUCAAAGAUGAUCCCGCGUUGUAUUAGCUAGUUGGUGAGGUAAAGGCUCACCAAGGCGAUGAUACAUAGCCGACCUGAGAGGGUGAUCGGCCACAUUGGGACUGAGACACGGCCCAAACUCCUACGGGAGGCAGCAGUAGGGUAUCUUCGGCAAUGGACGAAAGUCUGACCGAGCAACGCCGCGUGAGUGAAGAAGGUUUUCGGAUCGUAAAACUCUGUUGGUAGAGAAGAACGUUGGUGAGAGUGGAAAGCUCAUCAAGUGACGGUAACUACCCAGAAAGGGACGGCUAACUACGUG
RNAcentral lists this ribosomal RNA (497 nucleotides) under uncultured bacterium. Its description in RNAcentral is "partial 16S ribosomal RNA". It matches the Rfam family "Bacterial small subunit ribosomal RNA", at positions 28 to 507 of the family's 1533-position model. The record is from RNAcentral.